RNAcentral lists this ribosomal RNA (327 nucleotides) under Triticum aestivum (bread wheat). Its description in RNAcentral is "partial small subunit ribosomal RNA". The record is from RNAcentral. Lineage: Eukaryota; Viridiplantae; Streptophyta; Magnoliopsida; Poales; Poaceae.
AUGCUUUCGUGUAGCGAGUCUACCCAUAUCAUUCACAGUGACAACGAAGACAAUAUGCUCAAGGAGUUGACAUGCGAAUCAAAGCAUCUCAUCAUCACUGAAUAUGCCUCACCUUAUUUCAGAAAGAAAAAGGACAGCGCUCGAGACAGCAGACACACUUUCUUAAAGGGCUAUAAGAAACUAAUCCACAUAUUCUUGUUGCGUGCAUGCCUCGUUAGUCAGUCUUUAUAUCUUCUAGUGGUGUCAUGGGAAAAUACCAAAGCAGUCAUUAUAGAUAUGCAACCAAUGACCGCUCUGCUGAAAUUGGUGUCAUAUAAAGUUUCAUAA